RNAcentral lists this non-coding RNA (23 nucleotides) under Arabidopsis thaliana (thale cress). Lineage: Eukaryota; Viridiplantae; Streptophyta; Magnoliopsida; Brassicales; Brassicaceae. The record is from RNAcentral.
AGUAACGUCCUGCCAAAUCCGUC